RNAcentral lists this ribosomal RNA (399 nucleotides) under uncultured bacterium. RNAcentral's name for it is "bacterial SSU rRNA". It matches the Rfam family "Bacterial small subunit ribosomal RNA", at positions 29 to 419 of the family's 1533-position model. The record is from RNAcentral.
AACGAACGCUGGCGGCGCGCCUAAUACAUGCAAGUCGAGCGAGAAGACGUAGCAAUACGUUUGUAAAGCGGCGAACGGGUGAGGAAUACAUGGGUAACCUACCCUCGAGUGGGGAAUAACUAGCCGAAAGGUUAGCUAAUACCGCGUACGCUCCUUGGACUUCGGUUCAGGGAGGAAAGCGAUACCGUGGGUAUCGCGCUCUUGGAUGGGCUCAUGUCCUAUCAGCUUGUUGGUGAGGAACGGCUCACCAAGGCUUCGACGGGUAGCUGGUCUGAGAGGACAAUCAGCCACACUGGCACUGCGACACGGGCCAGACUCCUACGGGAGGCAGCAGUAAGGAAUAUUGCGCAAUGGGCGAAAGCCUGACGCAGCGACGCCGCGUGAGGGAUGACGGCCUGG